UGGCGGUGCGCAGGCGCAGUUGCUGCGGCUCCUGAAAUCCUCCGGUGUGAACUCCCAGGGCUGUUGAUGCUUCAUCUACUCUUCUGGCAGUGGGGGCCUGGACCUUAGUUACCCGGGGAGCGUGAGUCAUGUUGCACAGUUGAGCUGGCACAUAAAACUGCGAGUCACACCAGAAGAGGGCAUUGGAUCCCACUAUAGACUGUUGUGAGCCACCUUGUAGUUGCUGGGAAUUGAACUCAGAAACUCUGGAAGAGCAGUUGAUGCUCUUAACUGCUGAGUCAUCUCUCCAGCCCCAGGUGUUCUGCCCAGUUUAUAGAACAAGGAAUUGGAGCUUGGAGAAGAUUGAUGGACCACUCAAGUUCCCUGGAUGGUCCAGGAUUCAGACUGAGGAUGGCCUAAAACGUUAGUUUUGCUGGCUCCCUGUGCUUGGCUAACCUUAGAGCCUCUUACCUUACCAUAGUCUUUUCUAUGAAGGACAGAGAUCCAAGGAGUGGAUCAACAUGCCUGAGUUUACACAGUGGACCUGAGGACCUUCACCUCCCAGUGCAAUGCUCCUGUGUACUGCCACUGAAGAGACAGGUGGGAGGGAGCUCAAGGUUGACUUGCCUAACAACCAUUGCUUGAAAGACAAAGCUCCCAAGGAGAGCACAAGAUCCCUCACUCGAGACUCCUCUGCAUCACCAACCAGUGUGAACAAAGCCUGCAGCUGUCAGCAGAGUAUUCUUUGUCUCGGUGGUGACACGCUGUGCCUACAGUUGAACUAGGAACUUUGGAUUAGGGUGUGAGUCGUGACCCCAUAGGACAGUGGUGGUGCAUGUAGCCUCAUUUUAGAGUUUAUUUAGAGAGGAGAAAGAGUGUACCA
This 862-nucleotide long non-coding RNA is filed under the name Mus caroli (Ryukyu mouse). RNAcentral's name for it is "lncRNA (MGP_CAROLIEiJ_G0003425.1)". Lineage: Eukaryota; Metazoa; Chordata; Mammalia; Rodentia; Muridae. The record is from RNAcentral.